AACCUUAUGGACCUGCGGGCGUAUACCUGCGGAAGGAUCAUUAUCGAGUUGCAAAACUCCAACCCUUUGUGAACAUACCUCAGUCGUUGCUUCGGCGGUGGACGGCCUGUUUUUCGGAACGGCCGGAAGCCGCCGGAGGUUCCAAACUCGUAUUUUUUAGUGUAUCUCUGAGCCUGAAAACAAAUAAUCAAAACUUUCAACAAUGGAUCU
Molecule: unclassified non-coding RNA, 210 nt
Filed under: soil metagenome
Description: partial contains 5.8S ribosomal RNA, internal transcribed spacer 2, and large subunit ribosomal RNA
Source: RNAcentral